AUCUGAAAUCUGUGAAGCUGAAACUCAACAGGUAUGGGCCAAAGCUUUUAUCCACAGACAGACUAUCUUUUCUUUUUGGGACAAGCUUCAGCCCUGCUUUUUGAGUCUUCCCACUGAUUGAAUCAGUCCUACCCAUAAUAUACAAACAUAAAUCCUGAAUUUUUUUUAGACUUACCAAAUUCAACUGGUUGUGGACUGAAUUACAUCUGCAAAAGGUCAUCACAGAAACAGCUGGAUUAUCAUUUGAUUGAGUAACUGGGGGCUAUAGCCUAGCCAAGUUAACAUAUCAAAGUCACUGCAGAUGGAAAGCUUACCUGAGGAGCUGGGAUUUAAAGAAUGAGCAGAAGAUACUUGAGUAAAGAAGAUGAAGAGAUUUCCAGGCAAUGAAAGACACUUACCAAGGCCAGGGAGGCUGGAACACAGAAAGUGACAGGGAACGUGGCAAAAGACUAUGCUAAAGCAGUUGGCAGGAGCUAGCACUCUGAAAACAACAUUAAGAACUCUCUUUGGUCUUUAUCCUAAGAGCAACGGAAGACCUGGCAACACUAGUUUGGGGAAAUUUAUUGAACUAUCAAAAGUCAAAAAAGCCCACAGCACAGCAUCAUGAUAAAGACGUGUCAGUGUAUAAGAAGAACCAAACA
Homo sapiens (human) is the source of this 641-nucleotide long non-coding RNA. RefSeq lists it as uncharacterized. The transcript is spliced from 3 exons. The record is from RefSeq and is a predicted model, not a curated record. Lineage: Eukaryota; Metazoa; Chordata; Mammalia; Primates; Hominidae.